Molecule: ribosomal RNA, 798 nt
Filed under: uncultured bacterium
Lineage: Bacteria
Description: bacterial SSU rRNA
Rfam family: Bacterial small subunit ribosomal RNA
Source: RNAcentral
CAUGCAAGUCGAGGGGCAGCAUGGUCUUAGCUUGCUAAGGCUGAUGGCGACCGGCGCACGGGUGAGUAACACGUAUCCAACCUGCCGUCUACUCUUGGCCAGCCUUCUGAAAGGAAGAUUAAUCCAGGAUGGGAUCAUGAGUUCACAUGUCCGCAUGAUUAAAGGUAUUUUCCGGUAGACGAUGGGGAUGCGUUCCAUUAGAUAGUAGGCGGGGUAACGGCCCACCUAGUCAACGAUGGAUAGGGGUUCUGAGAGGAAGGUCCCCCACAUUGGAACUGAGACACGGUCCAAACUCCUACGGGAGGCAGCAGUGAGGAAUAUUGGUCAAUGGGCGAUGGCCUGAACCAGCCAAGUAGCGUGAAGGAUGACUGCCCCAUGGGUUGUAAACUUCUUUUAUAAAGGAAUAAAGUCGGGUAUGCAUACCCGUUUGCAUGUACUUUAUGAAUAAGGAUCGGCUAACUCCGUGCCAGCAGCCGCGGUAAUACGGAGGAUCCGAGCGUUAUCCGGAUUUAUUGGGUUUAAAGGGAGCGUAGAUGGAUGUUUAAGUCAGUUGUGAAAGUUUGCGGCUCAACCGUAAAAUUGCAGUUGAUACUGGAUGUCUUGAGUGCAGUUGAGGCAGGCGGAAUUCGUGGUGUAGCGGUGAAAUGCUUAGAUAUCACGAAGAACUCCGAUUGCGAGGGCAGCCUGCUAAGCUGCAACUGACAUUGAGGCUCGAAAGUGUGGGUAUCAAACAGGAUUAGAUACCCUGGUAGUCCACACGGUAAACGAUGAAUACUCGCUGUUUGCGAUAUACGGCAA